UUAAUCAGAUCCCUAGUUAUAUUUAUGGCCAACUGGCUUUCUCAUUAUGAUCAAAAUCAUGCAAAAAAAAAGAAAAUGACUUCAAAUUUGCUGUAUUCUUGCAUGAACGUCGCAAGGAGGCAUUGACUAUUUGAUAGACAUAGGAAAAGAAGCUACAAGAACUAGAUGGAUUCAUUGAGAAUAAUUCAAGGUGACUACUUGAAGUUCAGAUGUGUACAAUUUUUGAGAAUGAAACAAUUGAAACUCUACAUAGUUAAGAAGUGUCUAUUUUAGAAGAAGAUCACUGCUGAAGAUAACGUUACAUAGAAAGGAAUGGUGUUAAAAUCAAUCUACUCUGAGGAUUCAAUACUCCAAGUAUGCCAGAAGAGGGAAAUUCCACAACCCCUAGGCACUGUUCUUUGAAAGAAGGUUAGUGCUUUGAAUG
Molecule: long non-coding RNA, 424 nt
Filed under: Callithrix jacchus (white-tufted-ear marmoset)
Lineage: Eukaryota; Metazoa; Chordata; Mammalia; Primates; Cebidae
Description: lncRNA (ENSCJAG00000070786.1)
Source: RNAcentral